This 101-nucleotide non-coding RNA is filed under the name Arthrobacter rhombi. RNAcentral's name for it is "TPP sequence". It matches the Rfam family "TPP riboswitch aptamer (THI element)". Rfam says of the family: Vitamin B(1) in its active form thiamin pyrophosphate (TPP) is an essential coenzyme that is synthesised by coupling of pyrimidine and thiazole moieties in bacteria. The previously detected thiamin-regulatory element, thi box was extended, resulting in a new, highly conserved RNA secondary structure, the THI element, which is widely distributed in eubacteria and also occurs in some archaea. Analysis of operon structures identified a large number of new candidate thiamin-regulated genes, mostly transporters, in various prokaryotic organisms. Lineage: Bacteria; Bacillati; Actinomycetota; Actinomycetes; Micrococcales; Micrococcaceae. The record is from Rfam by way of RNAcentral.
AUCACUGACACGGGGUGUCCGCCACCGGCGCGGACUGAGAACAUACCCGGCAAGAACCUGAUCUAGUUCGUACUAGCGGAGGGAUGUCGCCCAUGCACCAA